ACGGGUGAGUAACACGUGAGCAACCUGCCCCUGACUCUGGGAUAAGCGCUGGAAACGGCGUCUAAUACUGGAUAUGUGACGUGAUCGCAUGGUCUGCGUCUGGAAAGAAUUUCGGUUGGGGAUGGGCUCGCGGCCUAUCAGCUUGUUGGUGAGGUAAUGGCUCACCAAGGCGUCGACGGGUAGCCGGCCUGAGAGGGUGACCGGCCACACUGGGACUGAGACACGGCCCAGACUCCUACGGGAGGCAGCAGUGGGGAAUAUUGCACAAUGGGCGCAAGCCUGAUGCAGCAACGCCGCGUGAGGGAUGACGGCCUUCGGGUUGUAAACCUCUUUUAGCAGGGAAGAAGCGAAAGUGACGGUACCUGCAGAAAAAGCGCCGGCUAACUACGUGCCAGCAGCCGCGGUAAUACGUAGGGCGCAAGCGUUAUCCGGAAUUAUUGGGCGUAAAGAGCUCGUAGGCGGUUUGUCGCGUCUGCUGUGAAAUCCGGAGGCUCAACCUCCGGCCUGCAGUGGGUACGGGCAGACUAGAGUGCGGUAGGGGAGAUUGGAAAUUCCUGGUGUAGCGGUGGAAUGCGCAGA
RNAcentral lists this ribosomal RNA (579 nucleotides) under Microbacterium sp. StRD356. RNAcentral's name for it is "bacterial SSU rRNA". It matches the Rfam family "Bacterial small subunit ribosomal RNA", at positions 102 to 694 of the family's 1533-position model. The record is from RNAcentral. Lineage: Bacteria; Bacillati; Actinomycetota; Actinomycetes; Micrococcales; Microbacteriaceae.